UGCGGGGUAGAGCAGUUUGGUAGCUCGCAAGGCUCAUAACCUUGAGGUCACGGGUUCAAAUCCUGUCCCCGCAC
Molecule: transfer RNA, 74 nt
Filed under: Allium cepa (onion)
Lineage: Eukaryota; Viridiplantae; Streptophyta; Magnoliopsida; Asparagales; Amaryllidaceae
Also listed under: 2 other names
Description: tRNA-Met
Rfam family: tRNA
About the family: Transfer RNA (tRNA) molecules are approximately 80 nucleotides in length. Their secondary structure includes four short double-helical elements and three loops (D, anti-codon, and T loops).
Source: RNAcentral